This 377-nucleotide ribosomal RNA is filed under the name uncultured bacterium. Its description in RNAcentral is "bacterial SSU rRNA". It matches the Rfam family "Bacterial small subunit ribosomal RNA", at positions 30 to 416 of the family's 1533-position model. The record is from RNAcentral.
CCUGAACGCUGGCGGCGCGCCUAAUACAUGCAAGUCGAACGGGUUGCCUUCGGGCAGCCAGUGGCGGACGGGUGAGUAACACGUGGGUGACCUGCCCUCAAGUGGGGAAUAACGCUGCGAAAGCAGCGCUAAUACCGCAUCCCCUUAGCGCUUCAGUGCGUUAAGGAAAGCUCCGGCGCUUGAGGAGGGGCCUGCGGCCGAUUAGCUAGUCGGAGGGGUAAUGGCCCACCGAGGCGACGAUCGGUAGCUGGUCUGAGAGGAUGAUCAGCCACACUGGGACUGAGACACGGCCCAGACUCCUACGGGAGGCAGCAGUAAGGGAUCUUCCGCAAUGGACGCAAGUCUGACGGAGCGACGCCGCGUGCGCGACGAAGCCC